RNAcentral lists this long non-coding RNA (1414 nucleotides) under Fukomys damarensis (Damara mole-rat). Its description in RNAcentral is "lncRNA (ENSFDAG00000026086.1)". Lineage: Eukaryota; Metazoa; Chordata; Mammalia; Rodentia; Bathyergidae. The record is from RNAcentral.
GCCCCAUCCGCGGGGGCGGAGCCUAGGCAGCCGGGGCUCUACAGGCUCCGGAAGAGCUGAGCGCCAGAUGCGCUGUGCGCAGGCGCCCGGGAGGGACGCGGCGAUUUGUGUGGUUCGCACGCGCGGGCGGGGUGAGAAAGACCAGACGCUGGCAAUUGUCUUGGCAGCUUCUCGGCCGCUGGGACACCAUCCUGAGGAAUUUAGUGGUAGCGUGGCACUGGCACACGUCGGUCUCACGGGGAUCUGUACUUACUGCGGUGGUUUCCUGAUCUCAGCUGGGCAGGCAGAGGCGCCGAUUUGCACCUGAAAUUCCCACCAGACCGGAUGACAGUGGCGAGCCGUGAGCCUCCCCCGCGGAUGCCAGCUCGGCCACGGAGUUUGAGGGCCUGAGCGGGUCCUGCUCGCUCUCGCUUCCGCUGCCUGGCGAGGCUCGGGGAGAAGGUUGCGCUUCCUAGCCGGACUGGACGCAGUCACACCGCUGUCGCUGCUCGCUACCUCACGUGGAGGGUUUGGGCUCCGCGGAUCAAGCAAGCCUGCCCUUGCCCUGCGCAGGAGGCCACGUUCGUAAUUGCGGUCCUGCCUCUAGUUUCCAUCCCGCCCUUUACAGCUGCAGAACAUUUGGGUAGCCACGUUGAAGACUGCAGAGUAGCUUUGAAACCACUGUGAUUUAUUUUUAAUGUAAAUUAUUGACAAAUUUCAGUUACCAGGGCACCACAUUACAGUGCUUAAGAUGUACCCCAAACCAGUCCGUACGCACACUGUGUACCAGUAGACCUGCGGUAUAUCCUGUGAGCUAUGAGGCUUCCAUCAAGGAAUUAAAGUACUUAAAUAUGGUUCUGGGGAAAAUGUUCUUUCAUGUCUUUCAGAAUCUCUGGCAAAGCACUUAAUGGGGCACUCAAAAUGUAUUACCAGACAAGUGAAUCCGCAGGUGCUUUGAAGGAUUUGGAAAGGAAUCUGUCCACUUAAGCCUACAAGGGUUGCAUUUUCUAUUGCGCUCUUGAAAAUUAAAUGUCUAUAAAUGAAAGAAGAUAAAUUUGAUGACAUCAGAUGAUAGAACAGUGUAGAAAAGAGAAAAAAGAUGAACAAGUCUGACAUCUGAAAAGCAGGAACUAUAAGAAAAUAGAAUCAGGAUAUAGCUGUGCACACCUGUAAUCUAGCACUCUUUCGGGGCUGAGGCAGGAGGAUCCCAAGUUUGAGCCCAGUCUGGGCAAUUUAGCAGCAUUAGAGACAUUAUCUCAAAAAACAGCAGGGCUAGGAUGUAGCUUAGUGUAAAGGCACUGGAUUCAAUCCCCAGUACUGAAAAAAAGAAAAUGAAGAGCAAGAAAUUAAUAAUUCCAAAAAAAUAUCCCAUAUUUAGAAAACAUGUUCUUAAUGUUUGGGAAAGCCCAACAAGUGCUGAGGCCAUAGCACAACA